UACGUAGGUGGCAAGCGUUGUCCGGAAUUAUUGGGCGUAAAGCGCGCGCAGGUGGUUCCUUAAGUCUGAUGUGAAAGCCCACGGCUCAACCGUGGAGGGUCAUUGGAAACUGGGGAACUUGAGUGCAGAAGAGGAAAGUGGAAUUCCACGUGUAGCGGUGAAAUGCGUAGAGAUGUGGAGGAACACCAGUGGCGAAGGCGACUUUCUGGUCUGUAACUGACACUGAGGCGCGAAAGCGUGGGGAGCAAACAGG
RNAcentral lists this ribosomal RNA (253 nucleotides) under uncultured bacterium. RNAcentral describes it as "partial 16S ribosomal RNA". It matches the Rfam family "Bacterial small subunit ribosomal RNA", at positions 524 to 776 of the family's 1533-position model. The record is from RNAcentral.